RNAcentral lists this ribosomal RNA (253 nucleotides) under uncultured bacterium. RNAcentral's name for it is "partial 16S ribosomal RNA". It matches the Rfam family "Bacterial small subunit ribosomal RNA", at positions 524 to 776 of the family's 1533-position model. The record is from RNAcentral.
UACGUAGGGCGCAAGCGUUGUCCGGAAUUAUUGGGCGUAAAGAGCUCGUAGGCGGCUUGUCACGUCGGGUGUGAAAUCCCGAGGCUCAACCUCGGGUCUGCAGUCGAUACGAGCAAACUAGAGUGUUGCAGGGGAGACUGGAAUUCCUGGUGUAGCGGUGAAAUGCGCAGAUAUCAGGAGGAACACCGGUGGCGAAGGCGGGUCUCUGGGCAACAACUGACGCUGAGGAGCGAAAGCGUGGGGAGCGAACAGG